GGUGGCUCAGUGGUAGAGUGCUUGUCUUACAUGCAUGAAGACCUGAGUUCGAUUCCUCAGCACCA
Molecule: non-coding RNA, 65 nt
Organism: Dipodomys ordii (Ord's kangaroo rat)
Lineage: Eukaryota; Metazoa; Chordata; Mammalia; Rodentia; Heteromyidae
Source: Rfam